This is a long non-coding RNA of Mesoplodon densirostris (Blainville's beaked whale), 231 nucleotides long. RefSeq lists it as uncharacterized. The transcript has 3 exons. Lineage: Eukaryota; Metazoa; Chordata; Mammalia; Artiodactyla; Ziphiidae. The record is from RefSeq and is a predicted model, not a curated record.
AAAGAAUUGUGAGAGAAGAGGGAUGAGAAAAGAACAGGAGCGACUUUGGCAGGCUGGCCCUUCCCUACUGCACUGUGGCUCUUCAGGUGCUACGGAAACUUGGGGCAUGAAACUGAGCUUUGAGGGAAGCAGGGAAGGACUCCUGGAGGAGAUGAUACUCUGGAGCAGAAUCUUUAAGGGUUCUUCUCAUGGUAUUAGAAGAUAUUGAAUAUAGUUCCCUGUGCUAUACAG